CCGCACAGUAAACGAUGAAUGCUGGUUCUUGGCGAUAUACAGUCAGGAACUGAGGGAAACCAUUAAGCAUUCCACCUGGGGAGUACGCCGGCAACGGUGAAACUCAAAGGAAUUGACGGGGGCCCGCACAAGCGGAGGAACAUGUGGUUUAAUUCGAUGAUACGCGAGGAACCUUACCCGGGCUUGAAUUGCAGCUGCAUAGGGCAGAGAUGCCCUUUCCCUUCGGGGCUGCUGUGAAGGUGCUGCAUGGUUGUCGUCAGCUCGUGCCGUGAGGUGUCGGCUUAAGUGCCAUAACGAGCGCAACCCUUGCUGUCAGUUGCCAUCAGGUAAUGCUGGGCACUCUGGCGGGACUGCCAUCGCAAGAUGUGAGGAAGGUGGGGAUGACGUCAAAUCAGCACGGCCCUUACGUCCGGGGCUACACACGUGUUACAAUGGGGAGUACAGCGAGCAGCUUGGUGGCGACACCUGGCCAAUCUUUAAAUCUCCUCUCAGUUCGGACUGGAGUCUGCAACCCGACUCCACGAAGCUGGAUUCGCUAGUAAUCGCGCAUC
This 551-nucleotide ribosomal RNA is filed under the name uncultured bacterium. RNAcentral's name for it is "bacterial SSU rRNA". It matches the Rfam family "Bacterial small subunit ribosomal RNA", at positions 795 to 1350 of the family's 1533-position model. The record is from RNAcentral.